Molecule: ribosomal RNA, 683 nt
Filed under: uncultured bacterium
Lineage: Bacteria
Description: bacterial SSU rRNA
Rfam family: Bacterial small subunit ribosomal RNA
Source: RNAcentral
UAACCUGCCUUGUACAGGGGGAUAACAGUUGGAAACGGCUGCUAAUACCGCAUAAGCGCACAGCAUCGCAUGAUGCAGUGUGAAAAACUCCGGUGGUAUAAGAUGGACCCGCGUUGGAUUAGCUAGUUGGUGAGGUAACGGCCCACCAAGGCGACGAUCCAUAGCCGACCUGAGAGGGUGACCGGCCACAUUGGGACUGAGACACGGCCCAAACUCCUACGAGAGGCAGCAGUGGGGAAUAUUGCACAAUGGGCGAAAGCCUGAUGCAGCGACGCCGCGUGAAGGAAGAAGUAUCUCGGUAUGUAAACUUCUAUCAGCAGGGAAGAAAAUGACGGUACCUGACUAAGAAGCCCCGGCUAACUACGUGCCAGCAGCCGCGGUAAUACGUAGGGGGCAAGCGUUAUCCGGAUUUACUGGGUGUAAAGGGAGCGUAGACGGAUGGACAAGUCUGAUGUGAAAGGCUGGGGCUCAACCCCGGGACUGCAUUGGAAACUGCCCGUCUUGAGUGCCGGAGAGGUAAGCGGAAUUCCUAGUGUAGCGGUGAAAUGCGUAGAUAUUAGGAGGAACACCAGUGGCGAAGGCGGCUUACUGGACGGUAACUGACGUUGAGGCUCGAAAGCGUGGGGAGCAAACAGGAUUAGAUACCCUGGUAGUCCACGCGGUAAACGAUGAAUGCUAGGUGU